Long non-coding RNA from Saccostrea cuccullata (small rock oyster), 662 nucleotides. RefSeq lists it as uncharacterized. The record is from RefSeq and is a predicted model, not a curated record. The transcript is spliced from 3 exons. NCBI's taxonomy places the organism in Eukaryota, Metazoa, Mollusca, Bivalvia, Ostreida, Ostreidae.
UAGCGAUUGGAAGGACGGUGUCAGGCCAUAGUUAUGACAAUGGUGGAUCCACUAACUUCAAUACUGAAAACCUUACCAACGGAGAUGGAGUCGACACCUGUGAACGUUUCAAUGGAUACAACAUUUAUUUUAACAUAUACCUUCAAACGACAUAUAACAUAAAGUUGUCAAGGCUUGUAUUCAAAGGGAAUUUUUCUUCAAACGCAACGUAUUUCCAGAACUACGAUAACACUUAUGACUGGCCAUUUUACAUCACUGAUUCAUUUAGAACCGAAGUUCCACACACAGUAGACUUUGAUAUUCAACGCACAGGAUCAUACAUUUACUUUUAUAUAUGGUUUGAUUAUAUAAACUCUUUCGAAAUUGAGCUAUGUGAAAUAGAAAUAAUUGGUUGUGAAACUGACCAUUAUGGUGAGGACUGUCUCCCCUGUAAUAAGUCUAAGAAUUGUGAAGUUUGUGACGUUAACAAUGGAGCAUGCUAUGUCUGCAGCGAAGGUUACACAGGACCAAACUGUAGCAUAAGUAUUACUUUCUUCCUUAAUUUUCAUUGUUAUCUCAUUAUAAUUCCAAAUUUGUUAUAUUUUUUCUAUGUGCAAUUUGCUACACUGAAGUAUCUUUAGCACGCAAACAUGUAAUUUGUUGUUCCCUGUUUGUUUGUUGUC